CAUGGCCAGGAACAGCAGCCCAACAGCUGCCGUCCAUCAGAAACAAGCAGUAAUUACAUUUCGAUGACUUUGCUCUCCCGUGGAUGAGCACUGGUGUGGCUGAAUCUAAAAGCUUCCGCAAGUGCUGCUUCUAUUGGUCAGGAGAGCUGGAUAUAGAGCAGAAGGAGAAAAAAGGAAGGAAAACCAGCUGGUUAUGGCUAUUUAGAAUAUGCUUGUGCAUAUGUGUCUCCUUUUCCAAACACUUUGGAAAGAAACAGUGUGCAACUAAAGUCACAUCAACAGUCUGAUUCAGGGCACCUAUUCAGAAAUGAAGUAGUCUCUAUCUUCAUGGCUGGGUGAACAAAGACCUUUCAAGAACAUUUCUCUGCUCCUCUGGUGUGAGUUCAUACUCGAUGCAGAUCCAGCCCCACAGCUGUCUAUGGGUAACCUUGCUGACAAAAGCUUCUUGGUCAUGGAUGUGGGGAAUUCAAAGACAAUCCAAAAUGCAUCUGGCUGUAUGAUACCUCCAGUGCUAUUAACUGCAGGAGCUGAUGGAACUUUACUCCUCUGGAAACCAAGGGCCCAGGAUAUAUGGGGUAGCCUAUGGACUUCUGAUAGUAUUGGUGCAUUCAAACAGCCAGCUUGCACAGCCUCUGAGUAAACAGAAGAAUAGAACACUGUUUUAAAACUGACAAUACACAGGAAAAAAUUGCAAAACAUCUGAGGAAAAUUAAGAUAAUCUGAGGAAUAUACUGGGGGGUAGAGUCUGUAGUAUUUAUGUGUGUGUGUAAGAAAGACUACAUGUCUUUAUCCAAUUAAAUAAUGUCAAUAAUUUUACUAGAAAAAAU
Chiroxiphia lanceolata (lance-tailed manakin) is the source of this 827-nucleotide long non-coding RNA. RefSeq lists it as uncharacterized. The record is from RefSeq and is a predicted model, not a curated record. NCBI's taxonomy places the organism in Eukaryota, Metazoa, Chordata, Aves, Passeriformes, Pipridae. The transcript has 4 exons.